Molecule: long non-coding RNA, 539 nt
Organism: Homo sapiens (human)
Lineage: Eukaryota; Metazoa; Chordata; Mammalia; Primates; Hominidae
Exons: 3
Source: RefSeq, a predicted model, not a curated record
UAUUAAUCCAACAUCAGCAGCAUGUUUUCAGAGAUGGACAGGACUCCUAGAAUGGGGGAAUGAGCAACUGAAGACUUAUGCGUUAAAUCCCCACCAAAUGGAAAAUGCCAACUGCUAUCACAUAGACCUCGGAGAAGGAAGACCUGGGGACUGAACUCUGGUCUCUGUUCUUCAUUCUGCAUUUCUUCCUGAGGGGCCUGGAGAGAAUCACACCCUUGGGCCAAACCAAUGUCUAACCUCCAUGUAUUGAUUUAUGAUUUUUCCUACAACUUCUGCUCUCCUGGAAUUGUCUGGCUUUCCUGCACUGGGCAAGAAGACCCCAGUUUGGUUUGGUGGCAGCUGUUUAUAUAAAACUUCCUGAAAUCCCCCCAUUGUGAACCUGGGAGUCAACAAAAACAACAAAGUGAAGCAGGGUUUGUUUGUUUGUUUGUUCGUUGCUUUUGUUUUAUUUUGAGAAUAGAGAGGACUGUGGGGGAAGAAAGAUAUACUUGUUCCUAUUCCCACGCCAUGCAUUUUGGAUGAUGUGAUACCUUUGUUGG